Long non-coding RNA from Homo sapiens (human), 1211 nucleotides. RefSeq lists it as uncharacterized. The record is from RefSeq and is a predicted model, not a curated record. Lineage: Eukaryota; Metazoa; Chordata; Mammalia; Primates; Hominidae. The transcript has 3 exons.
AACUGGCUUUUGUUCAGCCCUUAGGGAAGAAAGCCUGUGGCCUUUAGCAAGCAAGGAUGGGGGUGUAACCAGGCUCAUCAGACCUCCCAUCCCCUCACAGCCACAGACCCAGCUUUAAGUUUCCCAGACGGAAGAUUAUUCUUACUGCAGAUCUUAGCAACCUCAGCACAUGACUCUUUUUCUUUCCUCAUUAAGUCAAGAACCUUUGGCCUUUUCACUUAAAAGAAGCACUCUAAGGCUUCGCUUUGACAUACCCCAGUUGCCAGCAUCACUACUGUUUGGGACCAUUAGGAAGUAAAUUCAGGGAGACUUGAACACAAGCACUGCUUAUCUCGAAAGCUGAUCUGCUCACCGAGGUGGCCCUUGAGCACGGACAGCCUGGAUCUGCUGGGUAAAGGGAGAAGUUAUGUCCAGGGUGGGACAGAGAGGACGGCGAGAGAUUUCCUCACUACUCAGAACAGCGGGAAAUUCAAAACUUAGGGAUUAUUUCUGAAAUUUUCCAUUUAAAAUUUUCUAUUUAAAAUUGACGAAGGGUAACUGAAACCAGAGAAAGCAAGACUGACGAUAAGGGAGGGGCCUCCUGUACUCCAAGAGCACUGAAUCUGGAAAAACUCAACACAUCGAUGGAGUCAUAUAUUUAAUUUUUUCUUAAAAGCCGCCUGCGGGGUAUUGUAGAAACGCUGCGCUGCCUAUCACAGCUUGUGAUGUGACACGUUCAUUCUGCAAGUUUAAACUUCGCCUAGAUCGGUUCUUGGGGAAAAGCUGUGCUUCAGAGACAAGGUUGAAGAACUUCGCCUGCAUAUGAUGGAAGAUGACAAUGGGAACCACAGGUGUCAUUGGUGGCUUUGUUUUACAAAGUCUUCACCUUUCUGCUGAGUCACGGGACUAAGUUCAACACAAUUUCUACUUUCCGCCUUCCUUUGGAAUAAUAGUUUUGGAAGCCAAGUAUUAGUAUAUGAUACCAGGUGUGUUUUCUAAAGAUUCAGGUUCAGUGGGCUGAAUGCACUUUCAUGACUUCAUUAGACCACUGAGCCCAAGGAGAAAAGUGCCAAUCUUACUAGACAUGAGGAAAAAGACACAUCUUUUGCUCUUGCUGGAAGUGGUGUCCUACUUUCUACAAGCAGUCGUCAUCUGGUUUAUACUUGCCUUGUUCAGUUUUUGUGUGAUAUUUUAUUCUCUGCCUAAUAGAUAUUAAAGUAUCAAGCUGUCAA